This 165-nucleotide long non-coding RNA is filed under the name Dromaius novaehollandiae (emu). Its description in RNAcentral is "lncRNA (ENSDNVG00000018442.1)". The record is from RNAcentral. Lineage: Eukaryota; Metazoa; Chordata; Aves; Casuariiformes; Dromaiidae.
UGUGGCCAUCACCCUUAAUAAAAGGCUAAUUCUGUUGUUGUUUGUUCAGUUCCAGCUUGUUCAGAGAUGACAUUACAGCACCUGCUGCCUGAAUCACUGCUGACAACUACAAAGGUCCAGUGGAGGCUUUUAUGUUUGAAGGAGAUCUACAGCAUUUGGACAUGA